RNAcentral lists this ribosomal RNA (253 nucleotides) under uncultured bacterium. Its description in RNAcentral is "partial 16S ribosomal RNA". It matches the Rfam family "Bacterial small subunit ribosomal RNA", at positions 524 to 776 of the family's 1533-position model. The record is from RNAcentral.
UACGUAGGGGGCAAGCGUUGUCCGGAAUCAUUGGGCGUAAAGCGCGUGUAGGCGGCCCGAUAAGUCCGCUGUGAAAGUCCAGGGCUCAACCCUGGGAUGCCGGUGGAUACUGUCGGGCUCGAGUCCGGAAGAGGAGUGUGGAAUUCCUGGUGUAGCGGUGAAAUGCGCAGAUAUCAGGAGGAACACCAAUGGCGAAGGCAGCACUCUGGGACGUGACUGACGCUGAGACGCGAAAGCGUGGGGAGCAAACAGG